This 99-nucleotide ribosomal RNA is filed under the name uncultured bacterium. RNAcentral's name for it is "partial 16S ribosomal RNA". The record is from RNAcentral.
CACACCGCCCGUCACAUCACGAAAGUGGGUUGUACUAGAAGUCCGUGGGCCGACCCGCAAGGGAGGCAGCGGCCGAAGGCGAGCGCAAUGACUAGGGCG